RNAcentral lists this long non-coding RNA (1205 nucleotides) under Mytilus galloprovincialis (Mediterranean mussel). Lineage: Eukaryota; Metazoa; Mollusca; Bivalvia; Mytilida; Mytilidae. The record is from RNAcentral.
GUCCAGGGUUUCCCCUAAGUCAAUUAUUUUUUUCGCCACCUCUUUCGCAAAAACAAUAUAUUUUUCGCCACUUUAUUAUUUUUUUCGCCAAGUAACAUCACUAUAUUUUUCGUUUAAAAUUAACCUUUUUUUCUUACCCCCUCCCCUUUUCCCUUAAAUAAGGUGAUUUUGCCCCAUUGUGUCUAUGAUUAUUCUGUCAAACUUAUUUUAGAGUCUACAUUUAAUGAAUAAACACUAAACAUUUACUUUAAAACAACAGAUUUUGUUUUUAACAUAAAAGGGAAAAAUAUUCAUUGUAUUUUAAACAUCUUUUCUAAAUGAGGGGGCCACUAUACUUUUAAUAAUAAAGAAGAUAUAAGUCCUGGAAUACAACAAAAUUAAUGGACAUGUUUUGAUUAUAUAAUACCAGUAUAGUUCGUAGGGAAAGUUUCUUUAAAAGAAAAAUAUUGAUGUGCCCUUUUGUACUAAGAAGUGGUUUUUACAACAAAACAAAAGCUUUUAUCACAUGAUAUUUUGAUCCCUCAUUUCAUGUGUAGUCAUAAGAUUGAAGGGCUACUCUCAUUAGAGGGUUUGUUCCUAACCUUUUAGAUAGAUUUCUUCAUAACGACAGUUUUCUUUUCUUGACCAUCGUAAAUGAAAAAGUUGAGACGUAAAACUAUGCUUGAAACACACGUGUCACUCAAACGACUUAAAGUAGUCUCCCUAAUCAAUUACCUAUAUUAAAGUCAAAGGAUAAUUAAAGUUUUAAAUCAGAGAUUUUUCUUGCUUUUGAAAAUUUUUCGUCACAACAUCAGCUUUCUUUUCUAAACUAUCUUUAAAAGGAGAGGAGACGUCAAAAGUUUGCUUCAAACACGUGCGUCGCAAAGUGGUAAAUACAUUCUGUAUGUGACAUUUAGCGGAAGCCAUUUAACCAUUCAGUCAACACCUUUAUUAAUUAGUCCUUUGUUGUCGAUAGCUAUAAAAUGCAAUCAGCUGAUUAAUGAUUUUCUGUCCAAAUCUUAAUGAGGUCAAGGUGAAUUCCGAGUAUUGUCUGAUGAGGUAAAGUCCGAGAAACUCGAAAAAAGUAAAUAAACAAGAUGGAGGAAAAUAAAUGGUUCUAUAUAUUUCUUUCGCCAAAUUCUUUCGCAAAUGACGAAUUUUUAUCGCCACAAUUAUUAUUUUUUCGCAAAUUGCGAAAAUGGCGACCGCCAGCGGAAACCCUGGUU